RNAcentral lists this ribosomal RNA (253 nucleotides) under uncultured bacterium. RNAcentral's name for it is "partial 16S ribosomal RNA". It matches the Rfam family "Bacterial small subunit ribosomal RNA", at positions 524 to 776 of the family's 1533-position model. The record is from RNAcentral.
GACAGAGGGUGCUAGCGUUGUUCGGAAUGACUGGGCGUAAAGGGUGAGUAGGCGGUACUUCAAGUCAGGCGUGAAAGCCCCGGGCUCAACCUGGGAACCGCGCUUGAGACUGGAGAACUAGAGUUCGGGAGAGGAUGGUGGAAUUCCCAGUGUAGAGGUGAAAUUCGUAGAUAUUCGCAAGAACACCAGUGGCGAAGGCGGCUCACUGGCCCGAUACUGACGCUGAGGCACGAAAGCGUGGGGAGCAAACAGG